AUGGAAGAGUACAUACUGAACCAUUCUACGAUCAUAUUUUGCACUGCUGCUAGCUCAAUCAAUAUUCGUCGUGUCCGUGAUUUCGAGCCAUUUGAGCUCCUCGUUGUCGACGAGGCGGCACAGCUCAAGGAGUGCGAGUCGCUGAUACCUCUACAACUUGGUAUCCGCCGUGCUGUUCUCAUCGGUGAUGAACGCCAGCUACCAGCGUUUGUGAAAAGCAAGCUCAGCGCCGAGGCUGGCUUUGGAAGAAGUCUGUUCGAGAGGCUUAGCUUGCUGGGACACCCUAAGCACCUCCUCGCUGUGCAGUACAGGAUGCACCCGGAAAUAAGCAAGUUCCCCACCUUUAGGUUUUACCAGAGCAAGGUGACAGAUGGCCCCAACGUCCUUCACAGAUACUACGAGAGGAAGCUCCUGGCUGGCCCAAUGUACGGGCCCUACUCCUUUAUCAACAUCCAAUGUUGGAUGGAAAGCUCGGAGAAGCACGACAUGAGCCAGAGCAACCCUGUUGAGGUCGCCGCAGUGACCCGCAUUGUGCAGAGAUUGUUCCAAGAAUCGUCAGCUGAGACAAGAAGCAAGCUCAGCGUGGGCGUGAUAUCGCCGUACAAGGCCCAAGUCCGCGCCAUCCAGGAGAGCCUUGCUUUGGAGCACGAGAACUACAGUGGUUUAUCCGUGAAGAUCGGGACCGUGGACGGGUUCCAAGGUGCCGAGGCGGAUGUCAUCAUCUUCUCCGCCGUGCGGGCCAACACCAAAGGAAAGCUCGGGUUCCUCCCCGAUGAAAGACGCAUUGCUUCUGGAUUCUCGGGAACUCGGCUACGCUGUCAAAAAAGAAAGACAAUCUGGCAGGAGAUAGUGGCCGAUGCAAAGGAAAGAGGAUGCUUCUAUGAUGGCAACGACGACAAAGACCUCUUGGCUGCGAUGAGCAUCGCGAUCAAGCAGGAUGAAAUCAACCGUCUUGGUAUAGGCGGCUUGCGAUCUUGGGUUUCUGUUUUGGUGCAUGUUCGAUGUUCUCAGAGGAGUUUGGAGUUUGUUUGGCUGUCAGCGAGUGUGCUGCGGUCAGAAGCCUGGCGUAAGAGGACGGCAAGGCCACACACACGAGCCAUCCCAUUCUUUUCUUUCUCAUUCCUGAAGCGUCUCACUGUCUCUCCUCUGUUCUUCCAAGACCAAGGCGGAAAGAGAAGGAAAUUCCGCAAGAACCGCUCCUUAAUUCUCGCUUUCUGCGUUUGGAGCACAUCAGGAAGCACUCAUCCAGAUAUUGCUUGUCCUGCUUUGGAAGAAGCAGAGGGAGGGGGAGAGGGAGAGGAGGAGGAAGAAGAAAAAGAAGAAGAUGGAGGGGAGGAGGAGCAACCUGUUGAGGAGGAGGAAGAAGAAGAGGCUCCACUUAUAAUUAAUAGGGUCUAUGAUGGUAGUGGUGUUCUGGUAGUGGAAAGAGACCCAGGGCUGCGUUGCCAACUUUGGGAUCUUCCUGUCAAUGACCAAGAGAAAGCAAGAAAAGCAUAUGUGAAGUGUGGAGCAUAUCACUUUAAAAAGGAAAUAUACCUUCCUACUGGUCCAGAAAGCCACCCACGCAGGUUUCAAUAUCAUUGGUUCAAGGCAUUUCCUUGGUUAAUUCGACUUGUUCUCACUUUGCCUGUCUCAACCGCAACAACAGAACGUGCAUUUUCGGCAAUGAAAGUUGUUAAAACAAGACUCCGAAAUAAAAUGGAAGACAUGUUCCUAAGAGAUUGCUUGUUGAUCUACAUCGAGAAAGAGAUUGCAGUAGGAUUCUCAACUGAUGCAAUUAUUGAUGAAUUCAAUACAACGGACCGUCGCGUGGACUUCGAGUGA
This 1824-nucleotide ribosomal RNA is filed under the name Triticum aestivum (bread wheat). Its description in RNAcentral is "partial small subunit ribosomal RNA". The record is from RNAcentral. Lineage: Eukaryota; Viridiplantae; Streptophyta; Magnoliopsida; Poales; Poaceae.